UCCAGUUAGUUCCUCAUGUGAUCAGUGCGUCCCUGCACAUAGGGAAGAAAUGAUCAUGGAAAUGAGGGAUGAAGAUGUCUUUGGGUUGAUCUCUCUUGGAGACAUGUAGGUGUAAAGUCAGUGGUGCUAUCUGAUCUAUUUUCAUCAGAUAUGUUCAUAAUAGGAGAGCAGGCUCCUUAUUUGUAGACUCAGGUUUAAGCUCAACGCGAACAACACAAAGAAACAACCAAAGCUUCUACUCUGACCAACAACAGGGAAGACUCAAGGUAUGGGUGGUUCCGCCUUUAAAAAAAUCUUUUUUUGGAAAAAGAAGAAGUCCCCUUUGAAGAGAGCCAUGAAUCAACUGAAGGGGGCGCUACCCAAUAAGAAACGCAAGCAGCUGAAGAAGCAACUAGAUAAACUGAGUCUGGACAAACGGAGGAGGGAAAAACAUUCCAAGAAGAGAUUCUCACUGACAACAGACAAGAAAGUGCCGAUAUCACUGAAAAUACUUUCUCUUGGUAACAUACGGAAGGAGUCCAUUCAAAAUGCUUCACUGGAAGGGAAGGAGAAGGACAAGGGCGGGCUGGAAAGAGUCGGAGAGCAGAUAAAAAGGAAAUUUUCUCAAGAACACAAAAAAGGGCUUGGCACUCAACCAGAGCCUGUUCCUCCCUCUGUGAACCUGACGGAAGAAAAUGAGGCAAAAGUGUCCAAGAAGAAGUUCAGUGAUAUCAUGAGAUCCCUUCGUCCAACUGGAUCCAAAGCAAACGGACAACGACCUUGAAUUUGGCAGAAAGACUGAAGAAAACAUGUCAGCAAGGAGAGUGAGAAAGAUACACAAAGGGUUUUUUUAAUGGCAUCACAGAGUGAAUGAGAGUAGAUGAUCACAGCGAGAUACAAAACAUGAUGUUACAUCCAAAAAGUUCCCUCCCAUUAACAUUUUGAUGUCAGUUUUACUUGAUAUUUACAACAAAUCAGCCAAAACUUCAUGUUUCUUGUUCAGUUAGUCAUGCUUCAUAAAAAGAUAAUUUGUACACAUCAUUCUAGUAGAAAACGACAAACAUGAGCUCCUGUUCUGUUUAUUUGCCUCUGAUGGCAAAUCUGCUCACCUGCAAUACAUACUGUAAAGAUUAUCUACUGUCAGAAUGCGAUCAUAAAUAAAGUUGUACAUCACAAACUA
This is a long non-coding RNA of Amphiprion ocellaris (clown anemonefish), 1159 nucleotides long. RefSeq lists it as uncharacterized. The transcript has 2 exons. The record is from RefSeq and is a predicted model, not a curated record. Lineage: Eukaryota; Metazoa; Chordata; Actinopteri; Pomacentridae.